AAAUAAAUAAAUAAAUAAAUAAAUAAAUAAAUAAAUAAAUAAAUAAUUUUUAAAAAAAAGAAAAAGAAAAUACCAGAAAAAAACCAACCAGAUGCCUCACUGAUAUCACUGUGUGAUCAAUACAUUUAAAGAUGGUGUGGCCACACUGUGGGGCUGAUGAAGAGUUGUGGCUCCAAUGGAGAUGUCACUUGGUGGUAGGGAGCUUCCCUGGCAUGCCCAAAGCCUUGGGUCCAGUCCCCAGGAAGGGGGUAGGUGCAGGCAACACAAUGGUGAAGCCACGUAUCAAAAGCAUUCAAUGGCCUGGACUCGGAGUAGAAAUUGGGUCAGGGGGACUAAGUGGCCCAAAAGCAACAAGACCAGUCAAGAGUGUGUCUCUAAGGGUACAUCCUGUCCUGGGACUCUUCCUCCCCAUCUCAGUUCCCUGGCUGCCAUGUGGUAAGCAGCCUUCUCUACUGCACCCCUGAUCUGCCAUAACUUCUUCCUCACCACAGGCCCAAAGUGAUGAAGCCAGCCGAUCAUGGCUUGAGUCCUCUGAAACCCUAAACCAAAGCAAAUGCUUCCUCUUCUAAGUUGUUUUCUCAGGUAUCUUUUCCCAGCCAAACACAGCCGGAAUCCCUGACCAGGCGGAACAGAAAAUGUGGAUCAGGGAUGCCAACUGGGAGCUGGAGGUGACCAAGAAGAGAGGGAGAAACGAGUCUCCUUUGGGGAAAACCAGAAAGAGAAAAGUAUUUUUCAGGCUGGGAGAGCCCUGAAGCGCUACAAGGCUGAAGGAACGGACCAUGCUGAGCCAGUGAGUGCUAAGGAUUAGUGAGAGGUACCCCGAAGGAUGGGAGAGAAGCGUGAAGCCUAUUAUCAGACAAUUCUGAGCUCAUCUGAAAAGCUGGAUUAAGGCCCACCUCAAGGCUUUGACCAUGCUGAAGUGAUGAGUCAGCAGUUCUUAGUUCCGUGCAGGCCCGGAUUGAGUGCUGUAUGCAGACUGUUCAUUCUCAACAGCAGCCCUGCAAGAGUUGGGUUGUGUCUUGGUCACGUUUCCCUUGCUGUAAAGAAACACCAUGACCAAAGCAACUUGUUUAAGAAAAGAAAAAAGAAAGCAUUUAAUUGGGGACUUGCCUACAGUUUCACAGGGCGAGUCCAUGGCCAACAUGGCAGGAAGCAGGGCAGCAGGCCGGCAUGGUGCCGGCGCCGUAGCUGAGAGCUUACAUCUGCUCCACAAACGGGAAGCAGAGAGAGCAAGACCGGUGGGCUCUUUAGACCUCAAAGACCACCCCUGGUGACACACUUCCCUAACAAGGUCACACCACUUAACUCUUCCCCAAACGGUCCACCAACCAGGGAUGAACAUUGAAAUACAUGAGGGCUGAGAGGAAGCCAAAGAGCUUAUGCGAUGGAUGCUGGGGAUAAAGCUGGGGGGGCGGCUAGAGACCGACAGCUAGGGUGAGGAGAUGGCCCCUGCACCAGGUGUACAACUGGAGCUGACAUGUCCUGGGGACCUCAGUACCCCAACUCUACAGUUGACAGAGCCCUCCUUAGAAAACAAAGGAAGCAUAAGCCAUCACAGUCCAGCAGGGUCCCUCUCUAUCCUGCCUUGCACCUCCCUGAUUUCACUCUUUCCAACCCAGGGACACCCUAAGUUUGCAUCCUUAGAGCAAUUGGGGUUCUGUGGCCCCAGUGUUUCUCUGUCUCUUUUCUUUCAUGGGGUGACAAUUUAAGAAAAGGUUUUUAAAAUACCGAAUGCUGUGGUUUUUAUGUAACUUUCAGGUUUAUCCAGUAACGGAAAGGAGCCAGAGCCAGUCACACAUUGUGACUACUUCCUACCGUGGACCGCAUCCAGGGCUAAGAGUUUUACAAGCGCUGUUUCCAUGUCAUUCCUCGUGAGGACCCCAACAGUAUUUGCAAAGACACUCAACUCUUCCUGUAGAGAUGGAGCAUAAAGGAAUCCAAUGACUAACUAUGCACAUAGCAUCCCUCCUCAGCAAACUCCUGGAAAGAUCCUCAGUAGAACAAAGAAAGCUUCCUCUAGACAGUCCCAGCUUUGAUGGGCCAACCUGGAGAAUGUUACUUUAAAACAAUACCAAGAAAGAUA
This is a long non-coding RNA of Arvicola amphibius (Eurasian water vole), 2083 nucleotides long. RefSeq lists it as uncharacterized. The record is from RefSeq and is a predicted model, not a curated record. NCBI's taxonomy places the organism in Eukaryota, Metazoa, Chordata, Mammalia, Rodentia, Cricetidae. The transcript is spliced from 2 exons.